AAUAGAUACCGGGUAGUCCAUGCCGUAAACGUUGGGAACUAGAUGUGGGGACCAUUCCACGGUUUCCGUGUCGCAGCUAACGCAUUAAGUUCCCCGCCUGGGGAGUACGGCCGCAAGGCUAAAACUCAAAGGAAUUGACGGGGGCCCGCACAAGCGGCGGAGCAUGCGGAUUAAUUCGAUGCAACGCGAAGAACCUUACCAAGGCUUGACAUAUACGAGAACGCUCUAGAAAUAGAGAACUCUUUGGACACUCGUAUACAGGUGGUGCAUGGUUGUCGUCAGCUCGUGUCGUGAGAUGUUGGGUUAAGUCCCGCAACGAGCGCAACCCUCGUCGUAUGUUGCCAGCACGUAAUGGUGGGAACUCAUAUGAGACUGCCGGGGUCAACUCGGAGGAAGGUGGGGAUGAGGUCAAAUCAUCAUGCCCCUUAUGUCCUGGGCUUCACGCAUGCUACAAUGGCCGGUACAAAGGGCUGCAAUACCGCAAGGUGGAGCGAAUCCCAAAAAGCCGGUCUCAGUUCGGAUUGAGGUCUGCAAC
RNAcentral lists this ribosomal RNA (535 nucleotides) under uncultured bacterium. Its description in RNAcentral is "bacterial SSU rRNA". It matches the Rfam family "Bacterial small subunit ribosomal RNA", at positions 777 to 1311 of the family's 1533-position model. The record is from RNAcentral.